AGAGUUUGAUCAUGGCUCAGAAUGAACGUUGGCGGCGUGGAUUAGGCAUGCAAGUCGCACGAGACACCAAUUAGCUUGCUAAGAGGUAGACAGUGGCGAAAGGGAGAGUAACGCGUGGUUACUUGCCCUCGAGACCGGGAUAGUGUCGGGAAACUGGCAGUAAUACCGGAUAACAUCUUCGGAUCAAAUGGUGUGAUUCCGCUCGAGGAUAGGACCGCGUACUAUUAGCUUGUUGGUGAGGUAACGGCUCACCAAGGCUGCGAUGGUUACCGGGUGUGAGAGCAUGGCCCGGCUCACUGGGACUGAGACACUGCCCAGACACCUACGGGUGGCUGCAGUCGAGAAUCUUCGGCAAUGGACGAAAGUCUGACCGAGCGACGCCGCGUGCGGGAUGAAGGCCCUCGGGUUGUAAACCGCUGUCAGUAGUUAGGAAAUCCUUGAGGGUUAUCUCUCAUGGUUGACCGAUCUUCAGAGGAAGGACGGGCUAAGUUCGUGCCAGCAGCCGCGGUAAGACGAACCGUCCAAACGUUAUUCGGUAUCACUGGGCUUAAAGCGUGCGUAGGCGGCUUGGUAGGUGAGAUGUGAAAGCCCACGGCUCAACCGUGGAAUUGCGUUUCAAACCCCCAAGCUCGAGGAAGAUAGGGGUGAUGGGAACUUAUGGUGGAGCGGUGAAAUGCGUUGAUAUCAUAGGGAACACCGGUGGCGAAAGCGCAUCACUGGAUCUUUUCUGACGCUGAGGCACGAAAGCUAGGGUAGCGAACGGGAUUAGAUACCCCGGUAGUCCUAGCCGUAAACGAUGAACACUGGGUUGAGGGGACUUCC
This 822-nucleotide ribosomal RNA is filed under the name uncultured marine microorganism. Its description in RNAcentral is "bacterial SSU rRNA". It matches the Rfam family "Bacterial small subunit ribosomal RNA", at positions 8 to 834 of the family's 1533-position model. The record is from RNAcentral.